AGGAGACGGGGAGUCCGCCAGCGGAUGGGGAUGUAGAACGGGCAGCCUCUAAUGGCGCCUGCUGGUGAGGUGGGGUGCCUGUGGCCAUACAGGAAAGGGGAGCAGCUCCCACCUCGAGGCUCUGCUUGCCUCAGAUGGGGUCUCGCUCUGUUGCCCAGGCUGUAGUGCAGUGGCACAAUCUUGGCUCACUGCAACCUCCGCCUCCCGGGUUCAAGCAAUUCUCCUGCCUGAGCCUCCCAAGUAUCUGGAACUACAGAGCCAGAUUCUUAUUCUGUCACCCAGGCUGGAGUGCAGUGGCAUGAUCAUAACUCACUUCAGCCUAGAACUCCUGACUCCUGGCUUCAAGCGAUCCUCCCACCUCAGCAUCCCAAGUAACUGGGACUACAGAGAGCCAGUUGUUAAACACUAGCCAACACCCCAUUGAUGCUGUUCCUUCUACCUGAAACACCUCAGAUUGCCGGUGAGCUCUAGAGACAAAAGGACCUGGGUCUGCAUUUCCCAAAGGCAAGAAUCUGGUAUCACCUGCAUAUUAUUUUCCCAUAUUUGAGCACCACUGCUUGUUGCAUUAUUUACUUAGCAGUUUUGCUCCUGUCAACUCACUUUUUUAAAACUAAACUUAUUUUAAAAA
This 628-nucleotide non-coding RNA is filed under the name Pongo abelii (Sumatran orangutan). The record is from RNAcentral. Lineage: Eukaryota; Metazoa; Chordata; Mammalia; Primates; Hominidae.